This 465-nucleotide ribosomal RNA is filed under the name Vreelandella stevensii. Its description in RNAcentral is "partial 16S ribosomal RNA". It matches the Rfam family "Bacterial small subunit ribosomal RNA", at positions 338 to 795 of the family's 1533-position model. Lineage: Bacteria; Pseudomonadati; Pseudomonadota; Gammaproteobacteria; Oceanospirillales; Halomonadaceae. The record is from RNAcentral.
CCUACGGGAGGCUGCAGUGGGGAAUAUUGGACAAUGGGGGCAACCCUGAUCCAGCCAUGCCGCGUGUGUGAAGAAGGCCCUCGGGUUGUAAAGCACUUUCAGUGAGGAAGAACGCCUGGUGGUUAAUACCCAUCAGGAAAGACAUCACUCACAGAAGAAGCACCGGCUAACUCCGUGCCAGCAGCCGCGGUAAUACGGAGGGUGCGAGCGUUAAUCGGAAUUACUGGGCGUAAAGCGCGCGUAGGUGGCUUGAUAAGCCGGUUAUGAAAGCCCCGGGCUCAACCUGGGAACGGCAUCCGGAACUGUCAAGCUAGAGUGCAGGAGAGGAAGGUAGAAUUCCCGGUGUAGCGGUGAAAUGCGUAGAGAUCGGGAGGAAUACCAGUGGCGAAGGCGGCCUUCUGGACUGACACUGACACUGAGGUGCGAAAGCGUGGGUAGCAAACAGGAUUAGAUACCCUUGUAGUC